GGCGAACGGGUGAGUAAUAUAUCGGAACGUGCCCAGUAAUGGGGAAUAACUAGCCGAAAGGUUAGCUAAUACCGCAUACGACCUAUGGGUGAAAGCAGGGGAUCUUAGGACCUUGCGUUAUUGGAGCGGCCGAUAUCUGACUAGCUUGUUGGUGGGGUAAAAGCCUACCAAGGCAACGAUCAGUAGCUGGUCUGAGAGGACGAUCAGCCACACUGGAACUGAGACACGGNCCAGACUCCUACGGGAGGCAGCAGUGGGGAAUUUUGGACAAUGGGGGAAACCCUGAUCCAGCCAUCCCGCGUGAGUGAAGAAGGCCUUCGGGUUGUAAAGCUCUUUCGAAAGUGAAGAAAACUUAUUUCGUAAUAUGUUAUAAGUAUGACGGUAACUUUAGAAGAAGCACCGGCUAACUACGUGCCAGCAGCCGCGGUAAUACGUAGGGUGCGAGCGUUAAUCGGAAUUACUGGGCGUAAAGCGUGC
RNAcentral lists this ribosomal RNA (477 nucleotides) under uncultured beta proteobacterium. RNAcentral describes it as "bacterial SSU rRNA". It matches the Rfam family "Bacterial small subunit ribosomal RNA", at positions 97 to 570 of the family's 1533-position model. The record is from RNAcentral. Lineage: Bacteria; Pseudomonadati; Pseudomonadota; Betaproteobacteria.